RNAcentral lists this long non-coding RNA (822 nucleotides) under Elaeis guineensis (African oil palm). Its description in RNAcentral is "long non-coding RNA (EGUI_LNC077784)". Lineage: Eukaryota; Viridiplantae; Streptophyta; Magnoliopsida; Arecales; Arecaceae. The record is from RNAcentral.
AAAUCUUCAUUUUUAUGCCGCACCAAAUCUUAAUGGGAUUAGGAUUAAAAUUCAGCACCAUGAAAGAGUCCAAUUGGACUAGGACUCCAAUUAAAAGACAUCUAAUCUAAAUAAAUUGGGCUCCAAAUUAGAUUUGGAUUCUUAUUUAUUUGAGUCUAAUCUAGUCCUAAUAUGAUUAGUAUUAAUUGAUAUUUUAAUUAGAUUUAAAAUAGUAAUUUAAAUAAGAGUCCCAUAUGAUUAAAACUCUUCCCUUUCUUGCACCAAAAAAGACUCCACACCACCUUCUAUUUGUGCGCCACAAAUAACCCACGCCACAACUUCUUCUUGAUGCCAACUUCUCCCCUUUUAUGCAUGCAAGAAUGAAGGUUUUUCUCCCUUAUUCAAUGUGUAAAAGCUGGGUGAUAUUUGAGUUGGUGGGCGGCACAAAAAGAAUAGAGUCCUAAGUUGUUAGGACUCUUGAUUCCUAUCCUAUUUCGAACUCAUCUCUUGGCCUAUAAAUAACCACCACUUGGGAUGUGUAAGAGAGGAUUUUAGAUCAUGUUUUGAUGCCCAUAAUUAGAAUAGAAGGUGUGAAAAAAAAGAGAAGAAAAGGAGGGGAGCGUACGGUAAGAAAGGAUGGGGCGUGAGGUAUGCUUAUCCCUUCUUUCUUACACAACUAAUUGUUAGUUGUUAGGACAUCCCUCUCUCCCUCUUGUCCAUGUUUAAAUAUAGUUGUCUUCUCUUUCCUUUAUCCAAAAGUUGGACAAAAUUUCUACAUCUUUAUUGUAGAGAUUUGGUACAUGAAUUUUAGAAAGAAAAGAGAAGAAAUGGUUCUUCUCAUAA